Molecule: small nucleolar RNA, 71 nt
Organism: Microcebus murinus (gray mouse lemur)
Lineage: Eukaryota; Metazoa; Chordata; Mammalia; Primates; Cheirogaleidae
Source: Ensembl
UGGACCUGUGAUGACGACUGGUGGCGUAUGAGUUAUUCACCAUGAAUACCGUGUCUGGAACUGAGGUCCAG